CCUACGGGAGGCAGCAGUUGGGAAUAUUGGACAAUGGGGGCAACCCUGAUCCAGCCAUGCCGCGUGUGUGAAGAAGGCCCUCGGGUUGUAAAGCACUUUCAGUGAGGAAGAACGCCUGGUGGUUAAUACCCAUCAGGAAAGACAUCACUCACAGAAGAAGCACCGGCUAACUCCGUGCCAGCAGCCGCGGUAAUACGGAGGGUGCGAGCGUUAAUCGGAAUUACUGGGCGUAAAGCGCGCGUAGGUGGCUUGAUAAGCCGGUUGUGAAAGCCCCGGGCUCAACCUGGGAACGGCAUCCGGAACUGUCAAGCUAGAGUGCAGGAGAGGAAGGUAGAAUUCCCGGUGUAGCGGUGAAAUGCGUAGAGAUCGGGAGGAAUACCAGUGGCGAAGGCGGCCUUCUGGACUGACACUGACACUGAGGUGCGAAAGCGUGGGUAGCAAACAGGAUUAGAUACCCGAGUAGUC
RNAcentral lists this ribosomal RNA (465 nucleotides) under Vreelandella stevensii. Its description in RNAcentral is "partial 16S ribosomal RNA". It matches the Rfam family "Bacterial small subunit ribosomal RNA", at positions 338 to 795 of the family's 1533-position model. The record is from RNAcentral. Lineage: Bacteria; Pseudomonadati; Pseudomonadota; Gammaproteobacteria; Oceanospirillales; Halomonadaceae.